RNAcentral lists this long non-coding RNA (881 nucleotides) under Mus pahari (shrew mouse). RNAcentral's name for it is "tetraspanin 32, opposite strand (MGP_PahariEiJ_G0002225.1)". Lineage: Eukaryota; Metazoa; Chordata; Mammalia; Rodentia; Muridae. The record is from RNAcentral.
GUUUAGUGCUUACUCAUGGCCAGCCUUGUCCCUGCUCUGCCUGGUGAGGUCUGAACUGCCAGGUUCUACCAGCUCCGUCACCCAGGCCCACCCAGGUCUGGCUGGUUCCUGCAGCGGCUCUAAGAUGUGACUCUGCCCCUGGUUCUGGAGACUACAGGUCAUCAGCAAAUGUACUGAGCAUGAAGACAAGGUUGCAAAGGGUAGAUUGGGUCUACCCAGGAAGCAAAGCUCAGGUUUCUGAGGGCUCCUGGAUCUCCCGACUCCCCCCACCCCACCCCCAGUCUCUCACAGAUGUGAACAGGCUGUCUCAUGUUUCUGCUGCGAUGGUUAUGAGCUGCUCCCAUUGCUAUGACAGACUGGGAGCCAACACAAAUGGUUCUUCCCUACAGUUGUUUCUAUCGGGUAUUUUGUCAAAGCAACAGGGACUCAUCACAGGCAGAUAAUGCAAGCUCAGAGAAUCGCUGUCCUUAUCCCUCUCUAUCACCCCGGCCCGAGGACAGAAGACUACAUUUUCUGCACCCCAAGGAGCUGGAACAAUGUCCUCUGAACCCAUCCAUGCAGUAAGGUUCCUGUAGUCACUGCUCAUGUUCCUGGAAACACAGAGGUUAACCCAUCAACGAUUAUUUUUGUUCUUCAGGGAAAAUCCACCAGUGACUGGCAGAUGGAACCCAGGGCUUUUGCAUACACUGGCUCAGCUAGGAGGGGAAUGGAUAAGGACACAGGACCUCCCAUCUCUGUGGGGGUGUGGACGUGCAUCUGGCUACGCAGUCCCAGCUGUCGGACUACAGCAGAAGCCUGAGAUCAGCAGAGACCCCACCCAGUCCCCAGCAACCUGUACAGACACUCUGUGUCCUGUGGUAAAGCACACAGCUGAACUGUUC